Non-coding RNA from Guyanagaster necrorhizus, 91 nucleotides. The record is from the annotation of a RefSeq genome assembly. NCBI's taxonomy places the organism in Eukaryota, Fungi, Basidiomycota, Agaricomycetes, Agaricales, Physalacriaceae.
UCUCUGGUAGUAUAUCGGUUAGUACACGCGCCUGUCAUGAUAUGACAAACGUUGUGCGCGCGAAAGCUGGGUUCGACUCCCAGCCAGAGAU